RNAcentral lists this ribosomal RNA (253 nucleotides) under uncultured bacterium. Its description in RNAcentral is "partial 16S ribosomal RNA". It matches the Rfam family "Bacterial small subunit ribosomal RNA", at positions 524 to 776 of the family's 1533-position model. The record is from RNAcentral.
UACGGAGGGAGCUAGCGUUGUUCGGAAUUACUGGGCGUAAAGCGCGCGUAGGCGGCUCUGUAAGUUAGAGGUGAAAGCCCGGAGCUCAACUCCGGAACUGCCUUUAAGACUGCAUCGCUUGAAUCCGGGAGAGGUGAGUGGAAUUCCGAGUGUAGAGGUGAAAUUCGUAGAUAUUCGGAAGAACACCAGUGGCGAAGGCGGCUCACUGGACCGGCAUUGACGCUGAGGUGCGAAAGCGUGGGGAGCAAACAGG